This 253-nucleotide ribosomal RNA is filed under the name uncultured bacterium. RNAcentral describes it as "partial 16S ribosomal RNA". It matches the Rfam family "Bacterial small subunit ribosomal RNA", at positions 524 to 776 of the family's 1533-position model. The record is from RNAcentral.
GACGGAGGUCGCAAGCGUUGUUCGGAAUCACUGGGCGUAAAGCGCGUGUAGGCGGUUGAAUAAGUCGGAUGUGAAAGACCGGAGCUUAACUCCGGAAGUGCAUUCGAAACUGUUCGGCUCGAGUACGGGAGAGGGAAGUGGAAUUCCUGGUGUAGAGGUGAAAUUCGUAGAUAUCAGGAGGAACACAGGUGGCGAAGGCGGCUUCCUGGACCGAUACUGACGCUGAGACGCGAAAGCGUGGGGAGCAAACAGG